GUAGGGAAUAUUGGGCAAUGGAAGGAAUUCUGACCCAGCCAUGCCGCGUGCAGGAAUACAGUCCUAUGGACUUUAAACUGCUUUUAUUAUAGAGUAACCUGGGGGACGUGUCCCCCACUGCAAGUAUAUAAUGAAUAAGCAUCGGCUAACUCCGUGCCAGCAGCCGCGGUAAUACGGGGGAUGCAAGCGUUAUCCGGAUUUAUUGGGUUUAAAGGGUGCGCAGGCUGAUCGGUAAGUCAUGGGUGAAAAGUCACUGCUUAACAGUGAUCGUGCCUAUGAUACUGCCGGACUAGAGUUUAAGAGGUGUAACUGGAAUGUGAUGUGUAGCGGUGAAAUGCUUAGAUAUGUCACAGAACGCCAAUCGUGAAGACAGGUUACAAACUUAAUACUGACGCUCAUGCACGAAAGCGUGGGGAUCAAACAGGAUUAGAAACCCCUGUAGUCC
This 445-nucleotide ribosomal RNA is filed under the name uncultured bacterium. Its description in RNAcentral is "partial 16S ribosomal RNA". It matches the Rfam family "Bacterial small subunit ribosomal RNA", at positions 354 to 796 of the family's 1533-position model. The record is from RNAcentral.